CCCUCCCUCAGGGAUAUUUAAGCAGCUGGAUCCCGAGAACACUGGGACCAUCGAGCUCGACCUCAUCUCUUGGCUCUGCUUUUCAGUCCUCUGAAGUCCUAACUGAUCUGCCUGAGGACAGCCAGCCGAGGACGAAGCCCCCACAGAGAAACUUUUUAUCUGGACCCCAAAAUGACGGGAACAUUUACCUAACCGAUGAAUGGCUAGAGCUGAAAAUAAAGAUACUUUCUGAGACAGGUCUCACGUCUCACAGUAAAAAAGAUCUGCGUAUCCUGGUAUUACAUGCAGGUGACUCACUCCAUCCUGGGUUAGCUCAGAGAAAACCUUCCAUCUAUAAACAGGUCCACGGUUUACUUUUACCCACUUGCCCGUUUAUGGCAAUAUCCAAUUGGAGAAAAACACAGGGAGGUAUUUUUAACCGCUGACCAAACACGAAGUCAGUCUCCAAGGACACGAGGUCCUUGCUGGGAACAUUGAAAGUAAAUUCCCGAUUAACAAUGCGGCUGUGGCAUUUGCCAAACAGCAGCGCGCGUCCCUGGAGCGAAACGGAAAACAGGAAGCAUCGCAGAGUGACAGGCCGGGCCAGCACGCACACCUCCAUCACGUGGUUGCAGAGAGAGCCAGGUUUUAUGUAGAACGGCCCGGUGACCCGUGUGUCGCAGAAGAUGCUGAAGCCACGCGGCCCUCGGCCCGCUAACCGAAGCGUGCGCGAAAGCAGGUGCCUGGCGUCCGAGCCGAUUACGGGAAAGGACAGGACGAGCCGUUCGUGGCCGGGACGUCGGCACCCCCGCGCUUGUGCGUGGAGCCGGGAGGGACACGGGUGGGAGAGCUUGAGCCCUGCUUCACCCCGGAAGACGCGAGCCGCCUUACACACCUACCGCCUUGUUGCCUUACUUCCUGCUGAACGUGCUGUUAAUAAAGAGUGACCCAAGCGG
Molecule: long non-coding RNA, 935 nt
Organism: Herpailurus yagouaroundi (jaguarundi)
Lineage: Eukaryota; Metazoa; Chordata; Mammalia; Carnivora; Felidae
Exons: 2
Source: RefSeq, a predicted model, not a curated record